RNAcentral lists this long non-coding RNA (226 nucleotides) under Fukomys damarensis (Damara mole-rat). RNAcentral's name for it is "lncRNA (ENSFDAG00000032372.1)". The record is from RNAcentral. Lineage: Eukaryota; Metazoa; Chordata; Mammalia; Rodentia; Bathyergidae.
UGCAGAAGCAGGAAGUGCACUUGGGAGGCCAAGGCAGUAAAGGGGGAAAUGGGUGGCACUGCCUUGGCCCAGGGCGGGCGGCUGGAUUCUAGAGACGUGGAAAAGGUGGAAGGGCAAGAUUCAUCAACAGCACCACCAUUGUUAGGUAGACUAUCCUUCCACUGAGACGAUGCCUAAUGGUAGAUGGACUGAAACGUUUGCAGUCGAUUCCAUUGUUUACCCAGGC